Molecule: ribosomal RNA, 249 nt
Filed under: uncultured bacterium
Lineage: Bacteria
Description: partial 16S ribosomal RNA
Rfam family: Bacterial small subunit ribosomal RNA
Source: RNAcentral
UACGGGGGGGGCAAGCGUUGUUCGGAAUUACUGGGCGUAAAGGCUCGUAGGCGGCCAACUAAGUCAGACGUGAAUCCCUCGGCUUAACCGGGGAACUGCGUCUGAUACUGGAUGGCUUGAGUUUGGGAGAGGGAUGCGGAAUUCCAGGUGUAGCGGUGAAAUGCGUAGAUAUCAUAAGGAAGACCAGUGGCGAAGGCGGUCUCUGGACAGUUCCUGACACUGAGACACGAAGGCCAGGGAGCAAACGGG